GUAGGUGGCGAGCGUUGUCCGGGAUUUACUGGGGCGUAAAGAGCGCGUAGGGCGGGCUCGGUAGGUCCCCUGUGAAAUCUCCCGGCUUAACCGGGAGGGGUCAGGGGAAACUGCCGGGCUGGAGGGGAGAAGAGGAGGGUGGAAUUCCCGGUGUAGCGGUGGAAUGCGUAGAUAUCGGGAGGAACACCAGUGGCGAAGGCGGCCCUCUAGGCUCUACCUGACGCUGAGGCGCGAAAGCGUGGGGAGCAAACCGGAUUAGAUACCCGGGUAGUCCACGCCGUAAACGAUGGGCGCUAGGUGUGGGAGGUAUCGACCCCUCCCGUGCCGCAGUUAACGCGAUAAGCGCCCCGCCUGGGGACUACGGCCGCAAGGCUA
This 375-nucleotide ribosomal RNA is filed under the name uncultured organism. RNAcentral describes it as "partial 16S ribosomal RNA". It matches the Rfam family "Bacterial small subunit ribosomal RNA", at positions 527 to 896 of the family's 1533-position model. The record is from RNAcentral.